GUACACUCCUACGGGAGGCAGCAGUGGGGAAUUUUGGACAAUGGGCGAAAGCCUGAUCAAGCAAUGCCGCGUGAGUGAAGAAGGCCUUCGGGUUGUAAAGCUCUUUUGUCAGGGAAGAAACGGUGAAAGCUAAUAUCUUUUGCUAAUGACGGUACAUGAAGAAUAAGCACCGGCUAACUACGUGCCAGCAGCCGCGGUAAUACGUAGGGUGCAAGCGGUAAUCGGAAUUACUGGGCGUAAAGCGUGCGCAGGCGGUUUUGUAAGUCUGAUGUGAAAUCCCCGGGCUCAACCUGGGAAUUGCAUUGGAGACUGCAAGGCUAGAAUCUGGCAGAGGGGGGUAGAAUUCCACGUGUAGCAGUGAAAUGCGUAGAUAUGUGGAGGAACACCGAUGGCGAAGGCAGCCCCCUGGGUCAAGAUUGACGCUCAUGCACGAAAGCGUGGGGAGCAAACAGGAGUAGAAACCCUAGUAGUCCCAUG
RNAcentral lists this ribosomal RNA (477 nucleotides) under uncultured organism. Its description in RNAcentral is "partial 16S ribosomal RNA". It matches the Rfam family "Bacterial small subunit ribosomal RNA", at positions 331 to 799 of the family's 1533-position model. The record is from RNAcentral.